UACUUAAAUUUCUUUCUUGUUUUUAUUCAUUUCCAUCUUUGUCCACAGCUGAUCGCGAGUUUCUUACUUUUCGUGUGUUACAGUGCAUCUCAAACUGCUCGCUACAUUGGUUUUUAUCUUUGAUAACUAACUAUUUUAUUGCAUUCAUUUGUUAUAAAUAUUUUUGUCAUCGCGCUUUUUACUUUUAUUAUUUAACAUUUUUUAUAUUUUUGUUUAAUACUGUUUUUGUUCACUAUGACUUGUAUUUUUCCGAACUGCUCUGUGAAAGGCGAGUAGGAACGCUAUGUUUCUUGUUGGCUUUGUGAUGGGCUUGCCCAUCUUAAAUGUGCUGGACUGACAGGUAAGAUUUUGGAUUCCAUUCUUGACAGUAAGGGCUUGCGCUGGUCUUGCUUGAAAUGCAGACUAACUGAAAUUGAAUUGUUUAAAGUUUUUAAGCAGGCGCGCAAUGGUUUCAAGGAGAUUGGUCGAGAGCUUGAAACCCUUACUGGUGGAAUAGUCCGCUAUGGUUAACAGAAAGUCGAAAAAUCGACUCCUUUCACACGACAUUGGAUGAUACUGACAUCCUUGAGCGAUUUUCAUCAUACCCCCGAGCUCUCAGGGUAAACGCUUCCAUGAUAAAUUUCAUCAAGCGACUCAUAAUUAGAGUGAAGGGAGAACCCCCGCUGUUCUCCCAAGGCGAUGUAUUGACGCACCUAAACCUAGAAAAGGCAAAGGUCGCUCUUAUCACUUAUACUCGUCGCGCCACUUCAGCUGCGAUAUGUCACUACUAAGAGAAUCGAAGCCGAUUGACAAAAAGGAGCUCACUCUUAGUACUAAAUCCAUUUCUGGAUACAAAAGGUCUGCUUCGUGCUAAUGGUUGGCUUGCCAACUCUAGCCUGACAUAUAACGAACGCCAUCCGCUAAUAAUACCAGAGAAGACUCGACUUGCAACACUGCUACUCAAGUAUAUACACAUACUAAUGUUGUACGCGGAACAUCGCCUAAUGCAACAUAUAACCCGCCAGGAGUUCUAUAUUCCCCGACUUAAGCCUCAAAUAAAAAAGUGCAUUUUCAUGUGCAAUAUCUGCACUAUGCAUAAACAGAAGAUGAGGAUGCAGAUUAUGGCAGCACUUCCACCGGAACGCUGCAACUUCGCUCUGCCAUUCACUAUUGCAGGUGUAAAUUUUGCUGGGCCUUUUCAGAUAAAGGCGUCCAUGCUAAGGUCUCCCACACUAAUGAAAGGCUACGUGGCUGGCUUUGUAUGUUUUACGGCAAAAGCAGUGCACCUCGAACUAUGUACUAAUCUGACAAAAGAGGCUUUCCUGGCGGCAUUUGCUCGCUUCGUCGGUUUUCCGUCCAAACUUAUGAGCGACAAUGGAAAAACUUUUAUUGGGACUCAAAAAGCCACAGAAAAACAGUUUGUGGACUUUAUUAAACAAGUCUCCCCUGAGAUUGUACAAAAGUACGCUCCCCAUGGCAUUAAUUGGCAAUUCAUCCCUCCAAGAGCUCUAUGGGAAUCAGCGAUAAAAAGCUUCAAAUCCUAUUUAAAAAAGGUAGCUGGAAACUACUAAUUUAAUUACGAAGAGUUUACAACACUAUUAAUUCGCAUUGAAGCCGUUCUCAAUACACGGCCACUCACAACACUCUCGCAAGAUCCCUCAGAUCUCACAGCCCUAACUCAAGGCACUUUCUUAAAGCAGCACCCAUUCUGGCCACACCUGAGCCAGGCGUGGAGUCGCUAUCCUUAUUAAAUCGAUGGGAGAGAAUUAAAAUUCUCCAUCAUAAUUUCAGCCGCAGAUGGAAAGAAGACUAGUUAAAGGACCUCCACAUGAGGUAUCUGUGGAAAACAUCAGAAAAUGCGCCAAAUCCUGAAGAUUGUGUACUUAUUAACGAUGAUUGUCUCCCACCUACAGAAUGGCGGCGCGGCCGCAUAGCAAAGCUGCAUUACUAUUCCGACGGUCACAUACGAAUCGUUGAUAUCCGUACGCAAAACGGAACGCUGACCUGACCGCUCGUGAAGCUGUGCUUUCUGCCAACCUCCGAUGAUCGCGAAUCCGCAAACCGCAAACAACAAGCCGAUGUUCCCGCGAUACAAUUAACUAAUUAAAUAAAACGUUAAAAAACAAGAAACACGCUAAUACCAACCGUUAAAAAUAAUAUUCCGUAAGCAAUUAACAAAAAAAACUAAUCACAAUGGUCGAUCAAUACGAUGGCCCAUUCAUGCCACAUAUCGUGGCACGAUUGCUCAUAUCUAACCAUGACAGAUUUAUAAUUAACAAUCUCCUUUAUACAUAGUAGGUUACCAUGGACCUAGAUACGCCAGUGUUAGCCACGCCAAUCGUUCGGUCGGCUACCAGCGUGCAACGCACCGGGCCUACCCCAACCGGGCCUACCGAGCUGCAGUUGCAACAGCACCGGCAACAGGCAAUCGUUCAUCACGGGGGAUAUUUAGAGGAAUGCGACCGUUACAACGACAGCAAGUGGCCCAGGCACAUGCGCACUGUCUAAACUGCCUAUCGCAGACGCAUAGGCAUCAAAAGUGUGGGUCGAGGGGUUUAUGCCAAAUCUGCAACAGACCACAUCACACGCUGCUUCAUCGAACCGCGAUGCGCGAUGUGAAUCGGUCACCUAUACCUCGCAGCCACGCAACAAGGCAUCAACCCGGAAGUCGAGCAGUGCAUCAGCGGGAUGUCUAAAUGAGUCUCAGACCCCCUCACAAUAUUACACUCCCACACCACACACAUUACAUACACCACAUCGUCAUUCACCACCACAUCUUAACUACACACCACAUCAUCAUUACAUUCCACAUCACACGCACACAAAUACUACAACAUCACGAUUUCAACAUACCCAACAAAGGAACAAAAGGGACGGACGCAAGCAUCAAGCCUCGCUUAAAUCCCGCAUCUAACCGCUUAUCCAUUUUCGUUGCGCAUAUUAAUUUUUUCCAUACAAGAAGCAGUUCAAAAAACUGCCCAAUACCGCAGAAAGAAAAGGGACAACUACAUCUAGAACUCAUUCUUCUGAAAUCAUUUGCUGGUAAAACUAACAUUGAUGAAAAAACUUUAGAGCUAUUGCAAAGCCUUCCCGAUGUAAAAUAAAUAACGUCACUGCUGACAAUCAUAACUUCGAAGGUGUAGAUAAUUUCGUCUAUUUUGGAACCAGCUUUAACAGCAACAACAAUGUCAGCCUGGAAAAUCCAACGCAGGAUUGCUCUUGCCAACAGGUGCUACUUCGGACUAAGUAGGCAAUUGAGAAGCAAAGUCCUCUCUCGACGAACAAAAACCGAACUCUAUAAGUCACUCCUAAUACCAGUCCUGCUAUAUGGUGCAGAGGCUUGGACGAUGACAACAACUGAUGAGUCGACAUUGCGAGUUUUCGAGAGAAAAGUUCUGCGAGUGAUUUAUGAUCCUUUGCGGGUUGGCCACGGCGAAUAUAGCAUUCGAUGGAACGAUGAACUGUAUGAGAUAUAUGACGACAUUAACAAAGUUUAGCGAAUUAAAGACAAAUCUGAAAGUAUUCGACGCAGUACCCGCCGGGAGAAGCAGAGGAAGAGGAAGACCUUCACUCCGUUGGAAGGACCAGGGUUCUCUUGGCGCCACGUAGCGAAAAGGAAAGAAACGACCGGCGCGCUGUUGUUAAGAAGAAGAAGAAUAGUUACAGAUUCGUCCACAAAGUCCUUUAAUUUGUUCCUAGCUAAAAAAAUUAUAACAUUAACUUUAAUAAAAUUUUUGGCAUGGACAUUGGCCGACAUCAUUGAUUACACAAAUGACGAAUAAAGUAUGUAUAGUACGAAAGAAACAAGUUGUAAUAUACGAUACUCUUGGAGACAUAUUCUACAUAACAAGCUUAACUUAUUACACACCAUUAUGGCACGAAGAAAAACAACAAUAUACUCUCACGCAGUUUCUUUCGAAACGGAAUUAGACCCUAAUAGAGUAAUUUUUUUCACUGAAAAGAAAUAUAGUAAAGCGAGGCCUUAAAUAAAUACUUCUAGGUACAAUUUCGAAACAGAUUGCCGGAACCCCAGAUCAUGACGACUUCACAUUGUUAUCAAAUAAAAUAAACAGACAGUUUACAUUAUACUCUGAAACAUUUAAGAAAAUACGACGAUUGAAAAAUUUAGUAAAGACUACUGCAGGAAUUUGCCACAAAAAAAUUGUUUGAACAUAUAGAAUGAAACUUAUUAUUAAUUAUUAAUGAACAAAAUAAUUUAUAAAGCAAAACUUUGGCAAAAUCAAAUAUCUUACAUCCUCAUAUCCUUCACAAUGACGAGACAAAAGAAAACUUUAAGCACGUAUUAAAACUCUUGACAAUAACCGACCUUUUAGACGAACAUUCAAAAUAAUUUAAGAUUCAGAUAAAGAAGUCUUUUACAUCAAAUAUCCAAUAAUUAAAAAAUUUAGUUAGCACUUUUUGAGGCAAGAUCAAUCUCAAAUGAUAACGGCAAAAUUUUUAUUAUAAAACAAGUAGCUUCCUGCAACAACUCUUUCACACAAAAUCUUCAUCUUCUUUAUAUAUAAAAAGUACAUGUCACGUUUUUGACCGCGCCGGACUCUUAAACUACUGAACCGAUUUUAGUAAAAUUUAGCACACUAUGUCCGGUUCGAACCAACUAAGAAGAUAGGAUAGUAAAAACAAUUCAAAAAUAAACAAGUAAGGAAGGGCUAAGUUCGGGUGUCACCAAACAUUUUAUACUCUCGCAUGGUAAAGUGAUAAUCGAGAUUUCAUAAUACGUCAUUUACAUAUUUUUCAAAUACCGUAUUUUUGUAAAGUUUUAUUCCGCUAUCAUCAUUGGUUCCUAAUGUAUAUAUUAUACAGAGAAGGCAUCAGAUGGAAUUCAAAAUAGCUUUAUAUUGGAAGAAGGCGUGGUUGCGAACCGAUUUCACCCAUAUUUCGUACAUGUCA
Long non-coding RNA from Bactrocera neohumeralis, 4890 nucleotides. RefSeq lists it as uncharacterized. The transcript is spliced from 4 exons. The record is from RefSeq and is a predicted model, not a curated record. NCBI's taxonomy places the organism in Eukaryota, Metazoa, Arthropoda, Insecta, Diptera, Tephritidae.